Molecule: long non-coding RNA, 4477 nt
Organism: Homo sapiens (human)
Lineage: Eukaryota; Metazoa; Chordata; Mammalia; Primates; Hominidae
Exons: 6
Source: RefSeq, a predicted model, not a curated record
AGAUCCUUCUGUCUCUGAUCUCUGAUCUCUGACCUGCGUUCUUAGCUGGGACGUCGAGUUCUCCCAGGAUAAUUAUCGACCAGGAAGGAGUAGCCACUAUUCAUGCCAUUGUCAAAACCUCAUGGCAACAAAACUUCCAGGGCUGGAAUUGCAAAGAUGAUUACAAAGGGGAGCUCCACAAUCAGCUAGAGUCAGAUGAUUAUAAGUCCCUGGAAUGAUGAUGCCACAAGAUGGAAGGAGUCUAGCUACAUGAUUCAUUGCAUGGGUGUUCCAAGAUAAUGAAUACUUCCAUAGCAACAAAAGUCUGACAAUAAACGGUUACCUUGAUUUUCACAUUUUCAAAGAAAAAUCCCUCAAUGGCAACUAGACCAGAAGUCUCAACACUGAAUAUGCAAUAAUGGCUACAAGUUACAGGAUAUCAAAGUGGAGUGUGAACCAGCCAGGAGGAGAACGAAUAACACCCAAAGACAAAAAAGGACUUGUUGUCUUUUCUGGGGAAAGGGUUAGUGUGCUUUUCAGUUGCAUGUGAGAUAGUUGUAGCAUAGUAGGAAGACAUAUGACUUUGUUAUUGUUAUUUCAUAUGAAGUAUGGUUUAAGGAGAUAUGUAUAGAUGCCAAGUUAGCAAGAAUUGGACCGUGGUAUCUUGUCAACUUGACUAGGUUGAAUUACAUUUUUCAGAAUUCUAUUUCAUGUAAGUUUUCCAUUAGGGAGGGUCAGGAGAAAGACCUUCUUUUAAAAGACUAUGGGGCAGAAUGAUAUAUUUAAAUAUCUACAUGUAGGUAGAUAGGUAGAUAGAUAAACAUACAGACAGAAAUAUCUCUGUCUUUGUUCAGAUAGAAUAGAUAUCUGAACAGAGAUAGUUCAGAUAGUUCACAUAUCUGAACAGAGAUAGAGAUAUCUCUGAAUAUAUCCACAUAUAGAUAUAUUUAUAUCUAUCUUCCCUUUCUAACUACCAGAGCUAUGAACUCAAGAUUUAGUAUAAAUGUGAUGAAAACAGUCUUACAGAAACUGCCUAACCAGAUCAGCUCCACAAUUGUUCUAUACAGUCAAAUCCCUACAAUAAAUCAUUUUACAAAUCUUUCUUUUUUUGUAGAUUUUACAAAAUCGUACAACAAAUCUUUAGAUUUAUAGAUCCUACAACAAAUCCUUUUAGAUCUAUAGAUCUUGUAGUGGUUUUGCUUCUCUAAUUGAACCCUGAUAUAAUGUAUUCCAAAUGCGGAGCCAAUAGAAUUUGCUAACAUAUUGGAUUUAGGGUACAAGAGAAAGAAAGAGGUCAAAAAUGACUUCAAGGUGUCAUUUGGAAACCAGAAACUAGAAGACUGAGAAACCAGAGAGUGAGAGGGCUGAAAUUGAAUGGGUCUAAGGGAGAAAAUUAAAAAUGUGUAGCAAUGUUAUAUUUAAAAUACCUACUAGACAUCUAGAUGGGGGUGUCAGGUAAGCACCUGGGUUUACAAGUCUAGAGGCUUCAGUGAAGAGCACUUAACUAAAGAAAAAAUGGGAAGUCACCCCAAUAUCAUAGAUAAUGCUAAGGUUGUGGAAAUGGAUGUGGGCACCUAGGAAGUGAAUAUAGAAAAAGAAAGAAAAUAAUCUAAGAAUGAAAAAAUGAAAGAAGAAAAAGAAUUAGAAAAAUGAAUAGGAUUCAUCAGAGAUUAAGAAGGAGUAGCCAAUACGGUAGAUAAAACGGUACCUAGCUAUGUCAAAUGUUCCUGAUAGAUGAAGACUAAAAAUAUAACAUUGAAUUUAGCAAUGGAGAGGUCACUUCUGACUUUGAGUGGAACAACUUUAAGUAGAGUGAUGGAGGCGAAAGCUUAACUAGAGCUGACUCAUUAGAAAAUGAGAGGAGAGGAAAGUGGAGACUAAAAAUGCAGUCCACUUUUCUCAGAAAUUCUAGUGUCAAGAGUAGCAGGGAAACGGUAGAAGCUGGUGGGAGAUAUGGGAUAUAAAACACCUAUAUUUUUAGGUGGGAAAUGUUACAGUAUGUUUAUAUGCUGAUGUAUCAGGCCGUUCUUGCAUUGCUAUAAGGAAAUAACUGAGACAGGGUUAUUUAUAAGAAAAGGGGUUUAAUCAGCUUAUGGUUCUGCAGACUGUACAGGAAGCAUAGUACUGUCAUCUCCUAAGUUUCUAAGGAGGCCUCAGGAAGCUUACAAUCAUGGCAGAAGAUGAAGGGAGACCAGGCACAUCACACAGCAAAAGGAGGAGCAAGUGAGAGAGCCAGUGGGUCAAGAGAGGUGCCACACACUUUUAAAUGACCAGACCUCCUGAGAGUUCACUAUCACAAGAACAGCACAAAAAGGAUGGUGCUAAACCAUUCAUGAGAAAUCUGCCCCUGUGACCACCUCCGGCUGGCCCCACUUCCAACACUGGGGAUUACAAUUCAACAUGAAAUGUGGGCAGGGAUGAAUGUACAAAGUAUAUCAGCUGAUAUAAAUGAUUAAGUAGAUCAAUAAAAGAAAUUAAUGAUUGGGGAAAACUGCUAAAGCAAUGCCCUUGGAAAGAUGAAUGGGAUCUAGAGCACAAGUAGAUAGGUCUUGGAUUGGAAUGUAGGCUGUUUACGUGUAAAUGAAAGAAAGGCAGUUAUAUGAGUUUAGGUAUAGAUGGAUUAGUAGAUUUGGUAAUGGGAAUCUGUGGAAGUUCUUUGCUGAUUACUUCUAUUUUCUCAGUGAAGAAAGGAACAAGGUGUUCAGCUAAUAACGUGGUUUGGGAAGGGAGUUUGAAAAGAGAAGAUAAAGAAAUACUCAUCUAGGAGAGUAGGAGUGUGGAUGGACUAGAAAAAAGGUAAGAUCGCUGGGAAGCACUUGAGUUUGGUAGACAUGGAUUUAAGGACAAAGCCUAUCUCAGUACAUUUCACUGUGGAGAGAAGCAGGACACAACUCCUUCGUGCAAAGUCUGAUCUGAAAAAAAAAAAAAAAAAAAGAGAGAGAACAGAAGGAGUAGAGCCAACCAUAUUCAAUUUCUUCUUCAAAGAAAGUGGUCAGAUAAGUCAACCUACUUCCAGUACAGAGAAGAAAGCCAAAGGACAGGGAAAAGCUGGAAGUAUCUCUUUUCUGGGCUUUUUCUCCUUGGGAAUGAAAUAGUUGAAAAUGUCCUUCCUUCUAUGAAAACAUGAAAAGGAGGGGUAGGUGUCCCCCUAACGUGUGGCAUCGUUUAAUAAGGCCCCAAUGGGAUAUGCAUUCUGCACACUGUACUACAGGAUUUCUUUAAAAUACUUCUUAAAGAACCCAUCCAAUUUUAUGCAAGUAUUCAAAAGUCUCUAAUGGGAUUCAUUUUAAUUAUUGUAACAGAAAAAGAAAUUCUUGGUCCCCAACAUGGAAAUCCAAGAUGCAAGGAAAUCAUAGGCUCUGAAUCACCUGGGGAAGAAACCGCUGCAGACCAAAUUGCAUCUUAGAUCCAUUAAAUCAGAAACUUGGAUUGCUGGAUUCAGGUACAAGUAUUUUUAAAGCUCCCUAAGUGAUUAUAAUGUAUAGCCAAAGUUGAGAACUACUGCUUUGGAGCCACUGGUCUAAUGGAACAAAUUGCAUUGAUUUACUUCCCUUAAUAUUACUAUGUAUAACUAACUAAAUAAGAUGUAUUAUUUUAUGUUUCUUCUUAAUAUUGGCAUAAACCAAUAAAUUAGUGUAUGUAUGUUUCAUUGUUAGAAGAAUAUAUGAAUAUUAUUUUUGUACCAGAUAUUCCAUCAGGAGCAGAAACGUUCACAGAAAAGGGGCACAAAUUUUAGGGGCAGAGUAAGAUGUGAACCAUACAAUCAGCUCUGAGCAUCCUCCUCUGCCCAUUUGCCUCAUAUGGUUUUAAGGAUGGUAAGUGCAGAUAAAGCUGUGAAUGAGAAGAGGAACAGAGCAGUCAUCAUGGAACAUGAGAGAGAAGCUAUGUAUUCAAGGCCCCAGAACCACAAGUAGAAGGAGCCUGGAUCCCAGAUAAUUUUGUGGGUCCCAUAGUCCUGAAUUGCCUGCCCAGGCUUUAACAUGAAAGAGAACAAUUUCUCUAUUUCAUUUAAACCACAGUUAUUACAGGGUCUCUUUCAACAGCCAAACCUAUUACCUAACUAACACAAGUCAUGACCAGGUAGUCUUGCUAACAGAAUAUCUCAUAUUCAAUUAAGUGUUUUAAAUAUAUACCAUUGUUACUGCACCUGAACAACCGAAAACUUCUGUGAGAAGACCAAAAAUCUAUACUUAGUAGAAAUUUUCCUUCUUAAUUUUAGCAUCUACAGAAAUGUGCCCCAUAUUUUGUCCUGUGAAUGACUUUCAAAAGUUCAGACUUGUGUAAUGCCCUAUAAGUUGAACCAAAUAUUAAUUUCUUUGCAAUAUAUAAAGAUUUUAUUUAACAUAGUGUAAUAUAAAGAUAAUAUAUGUCUAAUGUAGUAGAUGUCAAGUACAGUAUGUGUUUGGUAUUUAGACCUUAUAAAAAAAAUUUUUCUAGCUCUUGUCUACCAUGUAGGUAACAUAUUCCCAUUUUAUAAAUAAAGCAAUUCCAGAACAUG